Molecule: ribosomal RNA, 478 nt
Filed under: Lomentospora prolificans
Lineage: Eukaryota; Fungi; Ascomycota; Sordariomycetes; Microascales; Microascaceae
Description: Scedosporium prolificans Eukaryotic small subunit ribosomal RNA
Rfam family: Eukaryotic small subunit ribosomal RNA
Source: Rfam by way of RNAcentral
AUAGAAUAGGACGUGUGGUUCUAUUUUGUUGGUUUCUAGGACCGCCGUAAUGAUUAAUAGGGACAGUCGGGGGCAUCAGUAUUCAAUUGUCAGAGGUGAAAUUCUUGGAUCUAUUGAAGACUAACUACUGCGAAAGCAUUUGCCAAGGAUGUUUUCAUUGAUAAGGAACGAAAGUUAGGGGAUCGAAGACGAUCAGAUACCGUCGUAGUCUUAACUAUAAACUAUGCCGACUAGGGAUCGGACGAUGUUAUUCUUUGACGCGUUCGGCACCUUUCGAGAAAUCAAAGUGCUUGGGCUCCAGGGGGAGUAUGGUCGCAAGGCUGAAACUUAAAGAAAUUGACGGAAGGGCACCACCAGGGGUGGAACCUGGGGCCGGGCUGCCCGGACCCCCUCCCCGGGUGCACUGAUCCAGCGGGGCCUUCCCCUCGGUGGACCCCCAGGGCCUUCACUGGCUUUGGCGGGGAAACAGGUCUUUUAC